Long non-coding RNA from Pogoniulus pusillus (Red-fronted tinkerbird), 693 nucleotides. RefSeq lists it as uncharacterized. The transcript is spliced from 3 exons. The record is from RefSeq and is a predicted model, not a curated record. NCBI's taxonomy places the organism in Eukaryota, Metazoa, Chordata, Aves, Piciformes, Lybiidae.
CAUGGAAACAGAAUUUCUUUACAAUAUCAUACCAGACAUACCUCCAAGUGCUAGAGAACAUUUAUGAAAUUGAUAUUGUGUCUAAACUCAGCAGAGAAGAGGUGAGAAGAGAGAUCCAUCAGGGGAAUGUUUUGCAAAGCGUAGUCUUGAUGCACAGCAAUGCCUCCCUGCUCUGGCUCUCGUCUCUUCAGUCAAACAAAGGACAUGGAUGAUGAAGUGAAUUAUUCUCUGACAGGAUUAAAGCAGCUGAAAUUUUAGAACGAUGGUACCAAAACGAAUGGGAGGAUUAAAUGGAUAAAAACAGUAAUCCCCUCAGAGGCACCAUUCAACUCCUGCAUUACAGAAGUAACUCUAACACAGUAUGAAGAAUUCGAGGGAAAUUGCAGCUUGACCUUUGAAAUACCAAACUCAUCUUAUUCCUGCAGACAAAGAAGUUGAAGAAAGUUUUUGUCAACCUCUUCACAUGAGGGUGUAUUUCAAGCUUGUUCAGUAAAAAAGCCUCACAGUGCAAGUCCUUGUCUGGCAAGAUAACAGCCUGAGUCCAGUGUGCUGGUGGAAUACUAAUUAAUCUCUUCAUUCAGGUUUUCCUGUUUUCAUCUUAUUUUUUUCUCUCUCUUUUUUCCCCCCACUAUUUUUUUUCUCUCAAGAAGACUGAAUAUUUAGCAUGUCACCAACAUUCCCUGUGCUUUGCUG